CAAUUUUAUCCAUAAUACAUAAUUAUUUUAUAAAAAUACAGAUUUAAAAUAUGGAGAGACAAACAUAAUACAUGAUAAACCCGUGAUGGAUAUAACGGAAAGACAAACAUCAUCUUUAUUAAUACAUCUUGAGAUAAUCCUGCUCAAGUUAGAGAAAAAAAUUCCCUAGCUAAGCUUUAUGCAGUGAAAUGAGCCCAAACACGGCCUUAGUCUCCCUCAAUUUCUCCAAAGUCCUAACCCUAGUUUUUUCCUGUUUCUUAGUAAAUCUUUCCCCAAGAUUUUUGAUGGAACUCCCAGACGACAUCUUAACUCGUUUGCCCACCGGAUCAUUUUCAGAAUCCAAAUUGGAGAGAUGUUGUUCAUCAUCCAUCCAUCAUUCUCUCAAAACCAUUUAAAUCAUCUCUAUUCUUCAGCUAAUGAUUCAGAUUCAAGUCCACUUUCAAGAUCUUGGAGAUUCAUCUCUACUACUUCCAAUGGCUUUUUGACAACUCUGAUUUAAACUUCUUUGGUUUAUAAUGCAACUUUGAUAAUUUGGUGCGCUUCACCUUUGGUGGACAUCAGUUUAGAGAUCAAAGACUUGUUCUGAAGAUCUUAGUCGGCACCAAUACAUAUAUUAAAAGCAAUGUCAAUGCUCCUUAAUCAUUUAAACAAAUCCAGUAUGUACAGUAAAAAUUCCAUGAGGCAUUUCCUAAUAAAAGGCGGAAAAUACCAAUGGGAGAUCAAUAUAUCUAUGGAUCUAUUGGUUGAGGAUGUUAAGAAGUGAAACUCGGUUCUUGAUCAGACACCUAAAGACAGAUUCUAGUCCAUCUUCAAGUUCUUGAAGGUUCAUUUCAAGGGAAGCCAAUGACUUCUGCACUUCUUUUGCUUCAAUGGCUUUGGAUUUCAAUGCGACAUCGACCUUGGUUACUUCAUUGACAACUUGUUGGGUUGCACUUUUGGUGGUCAACUUUGAGACUAGUGACCUUUGCUUUGGUGCAGAUAAGAAAGACAAGAUAGAUUCAAAGACUGCAAGAGCCUUUUUUCUUGAGGUCAUGUAUGCAUCUAAUUCGUUUGAUUGCCUUCGGAUAGAUGAUUGAAGAUCUUGGGCAGAUUGCUUCAUUUGAGAAGAAACAUCCUUAACGGCUCCACAGACAUCCAACAACAUGACAGAUCUGUCCAAGACUGUGUCGAAGCAUUUUCCAUCUUCGGUAGAGAGGAAAUCCUCAACACAUUCAUACAAGUUUGUUAGAGCAACCAAGUUGUUGGAGAUGGAUGAGGUGAGAACCGAAGAUCUCAAUAUGCAGAGUUGUUCUUCAACUGCAGCAGUGAAUGGGUUGGAUCUGGUGGGCAAACUGAUUGAACGAGCAUGGAAAGUUUUGUUUGAGGAAGACAUUUUCGCCUAUUUUAAAGAGGAAGAAGAUAAAAGUUAAUGUAGAGAAUGAUGUUUUGAUGAUGGCUAUUGGUUCUCACCUGGUGCUCCUUUUAUAGUCAAGACACAGGCUACAAUGUUCAGCAAGGGGAUGUAUAUAUUCAUGUGGUGGAACUUCCUCUAUACAUGCCAUUGUCUCCGCACUGUUCCCUCCAUAAAUGACAAAUAGUACGUUCCCUACUGACUCUAUAGCAUCAAUUAAUGUAUGAAUUUUAUAUCAUAAAUAACGAAUACUAUAGAAUUAGCCAAUUGUGCAAGUACGUGCAUUAAUGCGUUACUGCCUUGAAAGAUUUGUAAUGAUACACAUAGUGAUCGAUAUAUACGUUUCCCAACCAUUGGAAUCUUGACAGCCUUGUGUUUUAUUAUAAAUGUCCGAACUUAGGAACCAAAAAGCAUGUUAACAGAUAGUGUAAAAUGAUAUUUCAACUUACUAACACUGUGCAAUUUAUUAAUUAUCUCUGUCUCGGAAACAAGAUGAAUCAAAUGGCUCCUCCUGUUGUCUAUAUUUGUUUGGUUGUUAUGCGAAUAUCUCUCCAUGUAGCAUAUCAAGAUAAAUAGUAACUAAAGAAUUAUAUAUCCAAUAAGUUGCAAGGGACAGUCAAUUGAACAGUCACAAAAUCAGCCAUUAGUCCGCGGAAGAUUAGCAAGCUGUUCAAUUUUUCCUGGAUACCCUGGCCCGUCAAAAAAAAAAGUGACAAAAUUUGGAACCUCUAUAUUGAAACUUUUCAGCGAAGUCUAACCUUAAGAUAUAG
Molecule: long non-coding RNA, 2160 nt
Organism: Papaver somniferum (opium poppy)
Lineage: Eukaryota; Viridiplantae; Streptophyta; Magnoliopsida; Ranunculales; Papaveraceae
Exons: 5
Source: RefSeq, a predicted model, not a curated record